AUGGCGGAAGUUCUGGUGAGCGCAUCCACAGGGGCAAUGGGUUCCCUCCUGCGGAAGUUGGGAGCUAUGUUGACGGAUGAAUACAAGCUGCUCAAGAACGUCCGUGGGGACAUCAAGUUCCUCAAGGACGAGCUGGAGGUCAUGUGCGCGUUCCUCCUCAAGAUGUCAGAUGUGGAGGAGCCUGACGAACCAACAAAGUUGCGUGUGACGGCGGUGCGGGAGAUGUCCUAUAAGAUAGAGGACAACAUAGACAAGUUCAUGGUCCUCGUGGAACAGGAACACGGGUCCUCCUGUUCCGAGGCGGCUCAUGGCGUCGCCAAGCUCAUGGACAAGUGCAAGAACUUGCUGCCGGACAUCAAGACCCGCCGCAGGAUCGCCAAGGAGGUCAAAGACAUCAAGAAACAAAUUAAGGAUGUCAGCGACAGGUUUUCAAGGUACAAGAUUGACGAGCCCUCCUCCUCUAUGCCGGCAAAAGACAAGGUCGACCCUCGACUUCGUGCAGUCUACAAAGACGCCACAGAGCUCGUCGGAAUUGAUGGACCAAAGGAUGAACUUGUCAAGUGGCUGAAUGAGAAAGAGGGCCAAUCACUGAAAUCUGUCUCUAUUGUUGGAUAUGGAGGGUUGGGCAAGACCACGCUCGCCAACCAGAUCCGGGUCAACCUUGGAGCGACCUUCGACUGCGGGGCUUUUGUCUCGAUUUCACGCAAGCCUGACAUGAAGGCGAUAUUAAGAUCUAUAUUAUCACAAAUCACCAAGAAAGACGAUGCUUGCUCUAGAUUAGAUGAUAUACAACUCAUCAUCGACAAGAUUCGAGAGUUCCUCCAAGACACAAGGUACUUCAUCAUAAUUGAUGAUAUAUGGGAGUUAGGAACAUGGGAAACUUUGAAAUGUGCAUUUGUCAAGAAUACAUUGGGCAGCAGAAUAAUUAUCACAACACGUAUAGUUGAUGUUGCCAAAUCUUGCUCUCCUUCUAGUGAAGAUCUUGUCUAUGAGAUGAAACCACUCAGUGAGGCUGACUCAAAGAAAUUGUUUUUCAAGAGGAUAUUUGGUUGUGAAGAAAGCUGUCCUGAUAGCUUGAAAGAAGCUGCCAAUGAUAUUUUGAAAAAAUGCCGUGGUCUACCUCUGGCCAUCAACGCCAUUUCUAGCUUGUUGGCCACAACAAGGGAAACAAAAGAAGAGUGGGAUCGUGUGCGACAUUCAAUACGCUCUUCAAAGGCCAAAAGUGAUAUAAUAGAGACCAUGAAUUACAUAUUAUCUCUUAGUUAUUUUGAUCUUCCCCACCACCUAAGAAGCUGCUUAUUGUACCUGGCUCUGUUUCCUGAAGACCAAUUGAUUGAAAGGCAGCGGUUGGUACGCAGAUGGAUUUCUGAAGGCUUUAUCCAUGGAGAAAGUGGACAAGAUCUCAUGGAAUUAGGAGAGGAAUAUUUUCACCAGCUUGUGAACAGAAGUCUAAUACAGCCCGACAACAUAGGGUAUGACGGCAAGGCAAAGUAUUGCCGAGUCCAUGACACCAUCCUUGAUUUCCUAAUCGACAAAUCCUCCGAAGAGAACAUGUGUACCGUCCUAAAGAAACAAUGCAAGCCUAAUGGCAUAGUUCGUCGGCUCUCUCUAAUGGGGAAUGAGGAUGAAGAAACCGUGGAGCAAUUGGAUCUGUCACACGCUCGGUCAAUCACUGCUUUUAGGGAUAUCAAGCUAUUGCCUUCGCUUGGGAGGUCAAAAUGCUUGCGCGUGCUAGACUUGCAAGCCUGCAAUCAGUUGGAAAAUCAUCAUAUCAAGGACAUUGAAAGACUCUAUCAGCUGAGAUACUUGGAUAUCUCUUUUACAGGAAUCACGGAGCUUCCCAGGCAAAUUGGGGAGUUGCUGUAUCUAGAGACGCUAGUUACAUCCUAUAGAUUACGUGAGCUUCCUGAAAGCACAAGUCGGCUACAACGACUGGCACGUUUGUUUGUUGACCCCGGUUGUAAGCUUCCAGAUGGGUUGGGAAACUUGAUAAACUUGCAAGAGCUUGAUUGGGUUGAUGCCUUGCAGUUGAAGCAUGUGGAAGAGCUCGGCAAACUAACAAAUCUGAGAAAGCUGAGGAUUAAAUUGGACACUGAUGGGAUAGAAGGCAACAAAUUAGAACAGUCCAAGGAAAAGCUGGUGUCCUCUCUCUGUAAACUGGACGAAUGCGGCCUCCGUUCCCUGAGUAUUGGUUAUUAUCUGAGAGAAAAGGAUGGAGAAGAGCCGUUCCUCCCUCCUUUGGGUUGUAUCCAGGAGGUUUCUGUAUAUGGACAAGAUAUCAGCCGGAUUAGCAGAUGGCUCGCGUCACUUCCCAACCUACACAUGUUGUUUUUCGACUAUGUGAAGAUAGAGCAGCAGGAUAUUGAGAUGAUUGGAUUGAUACCCAAUCUGAUCGAUUUGUCACUGUCUUUACGCAAAACAGACGACGCUGGGCGGCUCAUCAUCAGGCGUGAAGGAUUUCAACAUUUGCAUAGUUUUCGGGUUUACGAUACUCGUAUGGGAGUUUUAAUGUUUGAACCGGGGGCUAUGCCGAGGCUCAAGGAGCUUAAACUCCAUAACUUCAUCGAAAAGCCCGAAUCUGGUGCGGUCGAUUUCGACUUUGGCAUCCAACGCCUCUCCAGCCUUGCUCGCCUCACUGUCAGCUUAUUCUGCGUUGGCUCGACGGCGGCAGAAGUAGAGGCUACGGAGGAUGCUUUCAAGAGCAUGGCCGAGGCGAACCCCAACCGUCCAAUACUGGAGAUGAUAAGAGUUAAUCCGCACCGCAUGUUCUGA
This 2772-nucleotide ribosomal RNA is filed under the name Triticum aestivum (bread wheat). Its description in RNAcentral is "partial small subunit ribosomal RNA". The record is from RNAcentral. Lineage: Eukaryota; Viridiplantae; Streptophyta; Magnoliopsida; Poales; Poaceae.